This 253-nucleotide ribosomal RNA is filed under the name uncultured bacterium. RNAcentral's name for it is "partial 16S ribosomal RNA". It matches the Rfam family "Bacterial small subunit ribosomal RNA", at positions 524 to 776 of the family's 1533-position model. The record is from RNAcentral.
GACGGAGGAUGCAAGUGUUAUCCGGAAUCACUGGGCGUAAAGCGUCUGUAGGUGGUCAAAUAAGUCAACUGUUAAAUCUUGAGGCUUAACCUCAAAAUCGCAGUCGAAACUAUUAGGCUAGAGUAUAGUAGGGGUAAAGGGAAUUUCCAGUGGAGCGGUGAAAUGCGUAGAGAUUGGAAAGAACACCGAUGGCGAAGGCACUUUACUGGGCCAUUACUGACACUGAGAGACGAAAGCUAGGGGAGCAAAUGGG